GUUGAAGAACGUAGUGAAAUGCGAUAAUUAAUGUGAAUUGCAGAAUUCAGUGAAUCAUCGAAUCUUUGAACGCACAUUGCGCCCCCUGGUAUUCCGGGGGGCAUGCCUGUUCGAGCGUCAUUACAACCCUCAAGCUCUGCUUGGUAUUGGGCCCCGCCAGUUCUGGCGGGCCCUAAAGUCAGUGGCGGUGCCUUCCGGCUCCGAGCGUAGUAAUUCUUCUCGCUCUGGAGACCCGGUUGUGUGCUUGCCAACAACCCCCAAUUUUUUAAGGUUGACCUCGGAUCAGGUAGGGAUACCCGCUGAACUUAAGCAUAUCAAUAAGCGGAGGA
RNAcentral lists this unclassified non-coding RNA (329 nucleotides) under soil metagenome. RNAcentral's name for it is "partial contains 5.8S ribosomal RNA, internal transcribed spacer 2, and large subunit ribosomal RNA". The stretch from base 1 to 120 matches the Rfam family "5.8S ribosomal RNA", at positions 35 to 154 of the family's 154-position model. The record is from RNAcentral.